RNAcentral lists this ribosomal RNA (253 nucleotides) under uncultured bacterium. RNAcentral describes it as "partial 16S ribosomal RNA". It matches the Rfam family "Bacterial small subunit ribosomal RNA", at positions 524 to 776 of the family's 1533-position model. The record is from RNAcentral.
UACGAAGGGGGCUAGCGUUGCUCGGAAUUACUGGGCGUAAAGCGCACGUAGGCGGCUUUCUAAGUCGGGGGUGAAAUCCUGGAGCUCAACUCCAGAACUGCCUUCGAUACUGGAAAGCUCGAGUCCGGGAGAGGUGAGUGGAACUGCGAGUGUAGAGGUGAAAUUCGUAGAUAUUCGCAAGAACACCAGUGGCGAAGGCGGCUCACUGGCCCGGUACUGACGCUGAGGAGCGAAAGCAUGGGGAGCGAACAGG